Molecule: ribosomal RNA, 497 nt
Filed under: uncultured bacterium
Lineage: Bacteria
Description: partial 16S ribosomal RNA
Rfam family: Bacterial small subunit ribosomal RNA
Source: RNAcentral
GAUGAACGCUGGCGGCGUGCCUAAUACAUGCAAGUCGAGCGAACGGACGAGAAGCUUGCUUCUCUGAUGUUAGCGGCGGACGGGUGAGUAACACGUGGAUAACCUACCUAUAUUACUGGGAUAACUUCGUGAAACCGUAGCUACUACCAGCGAAUAUUAUGUACCGCAUGGUUCAAAAGAGAAUGACGCUCUUCCCGUCACUAAUAGAUGGAUCCGUGCUGCAUUAGCUAGUUGGUAAGGUAACGGCUUACCAAGGCAACGAUGCAUAGCUGACCUGAGAGGGUGAUCGGCCACACUGGAACUGAGACACGGUCCAGACUCCUACGGGAGGCAGCAGUAGGGAAUCUUCCGCAAUGGGCGAAAGCCUGACGGAGCAACGCCGCGUGAGUGAUGAAGGUCUUCGGAUCGUAAAACUCUGUUAUUAGGGAAGAACAUAUGUGUAAGUAAAUGCGCCUAUCUUGACGGUACCUAAUCAGAAAGCAACGGCUAACUACGUG